This is a long non-coding RNA of Folsomia candida, 1290 nucleotides long. RefSeq lists it as uncharacterized. The transcript has 2 exons. Lineage: Eukaryota; Metazoa; Arthropoda; Collembola; Entomobryomorpha; Isotomidae. The record is from RefSeq and is a predicted model, not a curated record.
UAUUGUAGCAUUUCCUUAUCCCGCUGUUACGGUUAGUCAAAAUGUGGUAGCAAAUAUACUACAAUUUUGUAGCAAAUCGAUAUCAAACCGGUGAGGUCAUAUAUAGACACCGCCCAGUAGCAGUUUGCUUACAUUUUAUUCUCAGUGUACUCCGAUAUUUGGUUAUGACAAAUAAACACAUACAAAUUAUUUACGUCCACAUUAAUGACAAACCUGACGGUUGAAAACCAUUUAAACACAUCUCUCACGCUUAAAAUUACUAAAAUUACUUAAAUAUUCAAUUCCAUCCAGCUUGUUGAAUAAUUUGCAUGCAUAAAAAGCAUUUUUUAACAAAAGAAUAUUUACCUAAAGCCAUAUUUAUGUGUGUAUACAUAUGUACAUACAUAUGUGCGAAGUAUGUUUUACAAAUAAAUGACUUUUCUACAUAUGACAAACACGUAAAAAAUAAAUUCAACAAAAACCAACUCAUGCUCGCCAUCACAUUUACACAAUACAAAACUUGGAAUAAAGUAAAUCGCUAAAAAAUACGUAUGUAUGAGUUUACACAUAAUCUCUAUGAUUCAUACAUACAAACACAUAUGUUACACAAAUUUUGACGUCAACUCUUCAAAUACUUCCUCAUCAUACUAUUUCUCCGUAGUGAUAUCAUUAGCUAAUCAGGUUUUAAACGGUGCACAGAUGGUACAAAAUAGAUUGUGAGUCAAAAAUAAUUAUUAACUAGACAGACCAAUCGAAUCUUAAGUGCAUAUAAAUACUUGUAAUACAAUCAGCCUUUCACUGAUGAUAUAAUUUUAUAAUGUUCACAAUUCUUGUCGUAUUUGGGGGUGUAAUUCUCAUCUUGGGACUGUUAGCUUGCUGUAUAGCGGAAUUAAGACCCGUGCGUAGUAAAGGAUCACCUACAAUCUCGAACAAUUUAAACUCCGGACAAUUCGUGGUGCAAAAUAUUGAACAAAGACAUCCGUUGCCAUGGAUGCCAAACAUGAGUCAGGAAUAUUUUAUGAAUAACCUGGGCAAAGCGAAUACUACAAAAACCGUCAAUGAGCGUUGUGGAUCGAGUUCCCGUGAAUUCUCUGCAACCAGUGAAUCAAGCGAAGGUGCAUGUCACCCGAAUACCCAAGAGGCAGAUAAAUUGGCGAAGAUACUUAACAAAGAUUAAACUUUAAUAAAGCAGGAGGAUUUUAGAAUAUUUGGAGUAUGAAAAUUUGCAAAACCAUUCUGCCAGCGAUAGUUCCCAGCUCUUAAAAAUGUUCAACUAGCUUUAUUGAAAUAAACAUAAAUUAUUACCUGAAU